GAUGAACGCUGGCGGCGUGCCUAAUACAUGCAAGUCGAGCGAACGGACGAGAAGCUUGCUUCUCUGAUGUUAGCGGCGCACGGGUGAGUAACACGUGGAUAACCUACCUAUAAGACUGGGAUAACUUCGGGAAACCGGAGCUAAUACCGGAUGAUAUUUUGAACCGCAUGGUUCAAAAGUGAAAGACGGUCUUGCUGGCACUUAUCGAUGGAUCCGCGCUGCAUUAGCUAGUUGGUAAGGUAACGGCUUACCAAGGCAACGAUGCAUAGCCGACCUGAGAGGGUGAUCGGCCACACUGGAGCUGAGACACGGUCAAGACUCCUACGGGAGGCAGCAGUAGGGAAUCUGCCGCAAUGGGCGAAAGCCUGACGGAGCAACGCCGCGUGAGUGAUGAAGGUCUUCGGAUCGUAAAACUCUGUUAUUAGGGAAGAACAGAUGUGUAAGUAACUGUGCACAUAUUGACGGUACCGAAUCAGAAAGCCACGGCUAACUACGUG
Molecule: ribosomal RNA, 497 nt
Filed under: uncultured bacterium
Lineage: Bacteria
Description: partial 16S ribosomal RNA
Rfam family: Bacterial small subunit ribosomal RNA
Source: RNAcentral